UACAGAGGGGGCAAGCGUUGUUCGGAAUUACUGGGCGUAAAGGGCGCGUAGGCGGCCUUCUAAGUCGAACGUGAAAUCCCCGGGCUCAACCCGGGAACUGCGUCCGAUACUGGAAGGCUUGAAUUCGGGAGAGGGAUGCGGAAUUCCAGGUGUAGCGGUGAAAUGCGCAGAUAUCAGGAGGAACACCAGCGGCGAAGGCGGCGCUCUGGGCCGGUACUGACACUGAGGAGCGAAAGCGUGGGGAUCAAACAGG
RNAcentral lists this ribosomal RNA (253 nucleotides) under uncultured bacterium. Its description in RNAcentral is "partial 16S ribosomal RNA". It matches the Rfam family "Bacterial small subunit ribosomal RNA", at positions 524 to 776 of the family's 1533-position model. The record is from RNAcentral.